UUGCUGCGGUGCAGAGGAUUCCAGUUGCCGUAAUUUUCAGUGGAAAGAAUAAUGAUCACAGGGAACUGAAUGUGGGACACCUGUAGUCAGUGAGGAGAAACCCCACACAGACAUUCAGCUGCUACAAGGACCUGGAAAGAAGAAUUCCCUUUGGAACACAGGUUUUGCAGAAGGAUUCACAUUUUGCAUAAAUAACAAAGAAGCUCAAACACACACCCACUCUGAGUUAGCAUAAAGUUUUGUAUGAUCUAUGGCACAGUUGUGUGGAUGAGCCAGCACUUGUUUUACUCAGACUGAAAGAAUCAUUGCCAAUGGGCUUUGUCCUGAAACUCUCCAAAUGCCGCUCUGAAAAGUUAAAAACUUACUCCUGUGUGUGGUCGGGGGUGUGACAAGUUGUGUACCUCCCUGUCUCCUCCCCAUUAUAAAUCCCUUUCCACACGAGGCACUGUUAGUUCAACUGCUGUGUUGUGUGAGUUUAUCAGCCACUGUGACUGAUUUCUAGGGAGGCUGUAGGUUGGUCACAUGACACUGUUAAAUAUCUGGGUUAGUGAAGAAAACAAAUUCCAGUUUUGUGCAGUGAUGCUGAAGGCACUUUUCUCUGAUGUUGUAAGUGCUCCAGUAUAUGGAAAUACUAACGAUUGUGGAAAAAAACCCAAAAAUUACCAGUUUCUAAGACAGGAGGUUUGGGAUAGUAUUACACAACUGUAGAAGAGAACCUGCUUAGAUAAAAAUACAUAAA
This is a non-coding RNA of Cyanistes caeruleus (blue tit), 739 nucleotides long. Lineage: Eukaryota; Metazoa; Chordata; Aves; Passeriformes; Paridae. The record is from RefSeq and is a predicted model, not a curated record.